Molecule: non-coding RNA, 145 nt
Organism: Camelina sativa (false flax)
Lineage: Eukaryota; Viridiplantae; Streptophyta; Magnoliopsida; Brassicales; Brassicaceae
Source: RefSeq, a predicted model, not a curated record
UCACUUGGGUUCAAUGCAAUGCUCCUUGCUCUGGCUGCACAGUGGGUCCUCCAUUUCAGUACACGCCUAAGGCAAACACUGUCCCGUGUUCAGACCCGAUUUGUUCGGCUCUUCACUGGCCUAACAAGCCUCAAUGCCCAAACCC